RNAcentral lists this ribosomal RNA (149 nucleotides) under uncultured bacterium. RNAcentral describes it as "partial 16S ribosomal RNA". It matches the Rfam family "Bacterial small subunit ribosomal RNA", at positions 346 to 509 of the family's 1533-position model. The record is from RNAcentral.
AGGCAGCAGUGGGGGAUAUUGGACAAUGGGGGGAACCCUGAUCCAGCGACGCCGCGUGAGUGAAGAAGUAUUUCGGUAUGUAAAGCUCUGUCAGCAGGGAAGAAAGAGAUGACGGUACCUGACCAAGAAGCCCCGGCUAACUACGUGCC